GAUGAACGCUGGCGGCGUGCUUAACACAUGCAAGUCGAACGGAAAGGCUCCUGCUUGCAGGGGUACUCGAGUGGCGAACGGGUGAGUAACACGUGGGUGAUCUGCCCUGCACUUCGGGAUAAGCCUGGGAAACUGGGUCUAAUACCGGAUAGGACCACAUUUUGGAUGGUGUGGUGGAAAGUUUUUCGGUGUGGGAUGAGCUCGCGGCCUAUCAGCUUGUUGGUGGGGUAAUGGCCUACCAAGGCGUCGACGGGUAGCCGGCCUGAGAGGGUGUACGGCCACAUUGGGACUGAGAAACGGCCCAGACUCCUACGGGAGGCAGCAGUGGGGAAUAUUGCACAAUGGGCGCAAGCCUGAUGCAGCGACGCCGCGUGGGGGAUGACGGCCUUCGGGUUGUAAACUCCUUUCGCUAGGGACGAAGCGCAAGUGACGGUACCUGGAGAAGAAGCACCGGCUAACUACGUG
RNAcentral lists this ribosomal RNA (465 nucleotides) under uncultured bacterium. Its description in RNAcentral is "partial 16S ribosomal RNA". It matches the Rfam family "Bacterial small subunit ribosomal RNA", at positions 28 to 507 of the family's 1533-position model. The record is from RNAcentral.